UUGCCCCCUCGAGACAGCGUCACGUACACGAUUUGAAGUGUUUAAUCGUGACAAUGUCUCGAAUUUGUGUUUGGUUUAGCAAUUAGGUGACAAUCACCAUGUUACUUGAAUUUUUUUUUUUUUUUUGAUAAGGUCAUGUACUGUUUACAAUUCUAUCAAGUCGCGAAUCCAAAAACUAUAAUCAUAUUCUGAUUAGGAUUUUUUUAUUAGCCGACCGAAACAAAUCUUAUCUUUUAGUACACCACCGUAAUCUAUAAAACCCAAUAGAGAUUUACGAUUUUUUUUUUUUUUUUCUUCACGCUGCAUCAGAAGCUUUUCUUUUCCUGCAUCUCAUUGUCGCACAAUAUCAAGAGAGAAAAAAGAAGUCUUUUCAACCUGCUACCAAUAUACAAACAAGAAAUUAAUUUGAUCUACACUCUGUAGUGCUGGAUUCUUCAUCAAAGUCAUUAACGUGGGCAUCAUACCUCAACAGUACAUCAUAUUUUGCGAGAUACUGAACUUCUAGACUAUCUUUGAAGCGUUGCAGAAGCUCAAGACUAGUGAGGUGAUGAUUUUGUUACACCUUUUUUUGUCUAGAAUAUUUUGUUUGCACAGUAUCACUUUUUUUGUACAUGUGUACCCGUGUAUUUUUUUUUGUGUGUGUAUGACAGGUUCACUUGAAGAUGAAGACGAAGGCGGGGAUUCCGUCGUGAUGGGCCACAUGUCUUUAGCACUGUGAGCCUGUCAGGGGUGUUAUUCAUAUGUCUUUAGCACUGCGACACUGACACCUACAGACAGUCCCUUGAAGACGAAGACGAAGACGAAGGCGGGGAUUCCGUCGUGAUGGGCCACAUGUCUUUAGCACUGUGAGCCUGUCAGGGGUGUUAUUCAUAUGUCUUUAGCACUGCGACACUGACACCUCCAGACAGUCCUUGAAGACGAAGACGAAGGCAGGGAUUCCGUCGUGAUGGGCCACAUGUCUUUAGCACUGUGAGCCUGUCAGGGGUGUUAUUCAUAUGUCUUUAGCACUGCGACACUGACACUCCAGACAGUCCCUUGAAGACGAAGACGAAGGCGGGGAUUCCGUCGUGAUGGGCCACAUGUCUUUAGCACUGUGAGCCUGUCAGGGGUGUUAUUCAUAUGUCUUUAGCACUGCGACACUGACACCUCCAGACAGUCCCUUGAAGACGAAGACGAAGGCAGGGAUUCCGUCGUGAUGGGCCACAUGUCUUUAGCACUGUGAGCCUGUUAGGGGUGUUAUUCAUAUGUCUUUAGCACUGCGACACUGCACCUCCAGACAGUCCCUUGAAGACAGUCAAUCUCACCUCGAGGUAUGUUGUCUAACCCAUG
Beta vulgaris subsp. vulgaris (sugar beet) is the source of this 1329-nucleotide long non-coding RNA. RefSeq lists it as uncharacterized. NCBI's taxonomy places the organism in Eukaryota, Viridiplantae, Streptophyta, Magnoliopsida, Caryophyllales, Amaranthaceae. The transcript is spliced from 3 exons. The record is from RefSeq and is a predicted model, not a curated record.